RNAcentral lists this ribosomal RNA (478 nucleotides) under uncultured bacterium. RNAcentral describes it as "partial 16S ribosomal RNA". It matches the Rfam family "Bacterial small subunit ribosomal RNA", at positions 28 to 523 of the family's 1533-position model. The record is from RNAcentral.
GACGGACGCUGGCGGCGUGCUUAACACAUGCAAGUCGAACGGUAAGGCCCUUCGGGGUACACGAGUGGCGAACGGGUGAGUAACACGUGGGUGAUCUGCCCUGCACUUCGGGAUAAGCCUGGGAAACUGGGUCUAAUACCGGAUAGGACUCCUGGCUUCAUGGUUGGGGGUGGAAAGCUUUUGCGGUGUGGGAUGGGCCCGCGGCCUAUCAGCUUGUUGGUGGGGUAAUGUCCUUCCAAGGCGACGACGGGUAGCCGGCCUGAGAGGGUGACCGGUCACACUGGGACUUAGAUACGGCCCAGACUCCUACGGGAGGCAGCAGUGGGGAAUAUUGCACAAUGGGCGCAAGCCUGAUGCAGCGACGCCGCGUGAGGGAUGACGGCCUUCGGGUUGUAAACCUCUUUCAGCUAUGACGAAGCGCAAGUGACGGUAGUAGCAGAAGAAGGACCGGCCAACUACGUGCCAGCAGCCGCCGUAA